UGUGUUCUAGAUGGUAAGAGUGUUUCAAGGCAAAAUAACUCAAUAUCACAGCAUACACCAUCCCAGAAGACAUGCACAUAAUCACACAACAAACAAACCUGUGCCUCAGUCUUCAAAAGAAUUCCAUGAAUUGAUCAGCAUUGAAUAAUGGAGCAGAAGGAGAAAGAGAUAAAGCCUGUUGUCUUAGUCAAUGGUGCAAUAGUCUGUGUUGAGGAACAAUUCAGACAGUUUUCUGACUAAAUACAAGGGUGCUGCUUUCACCCCCUGAGUCUGAUGCAGACCUCAGAAAUCAUACCUUUGAGAACUACAUGCUAACUGAGCAUUGGUGAAAGAUAACCUGUGAAUCAAUGCAGUGUCCCACUUUACACGGUGUCUGAAAACCUGACGAGAGAAUACAGCUGGUUGUCGGAUUCGGAAAAUUAAAAAUAUCACAUAAAGAGCAUUGUAAACAAGAGCCAGCAACCACACAGCAUGUACAGAGGAUGACUUCAGCUGGAAAUUUCACGGGGAUUUCAAACAACGGUCAACCAACGCUGUCAGCAGUUCACCAAGAAAAAAGUUACCGGUCACUUCUGCAUCGCUUUGACAUGGCAAGACUGGAAGGUUCUCGGGGGUCCCGACCCAUGACCCUUUACCCUACGGCUCCUGGGUGUUGUUGACAUUGCCUGGUGAAUAACUGAGAGAGAGAGCAAGAGAGAAAGAGAGAGAAGUGUCCUCGGAGGGAGACACUGUGAAUGAAUAAGGAGUAGAUCAAAGCUGAAGAUAAGCCCAGAGGUCACGACCCCUGCUGGGGCGGCUGUCAAGAGGUGUAAAGGAUACAGGAUAUGCUGUGUAACACAGGUAAUGUUCAGCUACACACACACUUCUAUUAACGACUCAUCUGUCUCUGGAAUAUGUGCGCACUGGAAGAUCCUGCCAUGAACACACACUCGCAUGUUUAUUUAUUAUCACGACACUCAGGGAAUGGCAGCCAUAGUGAGUGUUUAAUUCUGAUGGAUGGAAUGCACAAGGAGUGAAGUGCUUUAAAAAUGGAUAAGUGUAAACAAAGGAAAGGCAUCUCCUGCUUUACGGACAGGAGAGAGGUCAGUCGUCCUUCCUAAAGGAUGCUUUGAUUUUCCCUGAUAAUACACAACAAAUUCAGCUCAAUGAGGAGGGAUUCAGUUGCUGUAGUUAAUAUUAAAGACAAAUAAAUCUAAAGCUUAAUCAAAUAAACUGCA
Long non-coding RNA from Cyprinus carpio (common carp), 1217 nucleotides. NCBI's taxonomy places the organism in Eukaryota, Metazoa, Chordata, Actinopteri, Cypriniformes, Cyprinidae. The record is from Ensembl.